AUCUCGGUAUCAUCUGCAGAAUAUGGUAGUAAUGCAAAGGAGUCUGUAACAGACUAUACUACAACCUCUUCUUCUCUGCCUAACACUGUGGCUACUAAUAACACAAAGAUGGAGGAUACUUUGGUUAAUAAUGUGCCCCUGCCUAACACCCUUCCCUUCCCUAAGAGAGAGACUAUACAACAGAGCUCCAGCCUAACUUCAGUUCCUCCCACUACUUUCAGCCUCACCUUCAAGAUGGAGUCUGCACGCAAGGAUAGGGAGAAUUCUCCAAAUGUAAGGGAAAAGGGGUCUCCAGUAACUUCCACAGCACCUCCAAUUGCAACUGGAGUCAGCAGUAGUGCCAGUGCACCAAGCACUGCUAAUUAUAAUUCGUUCUCAAGUGCAUCGAUGCCCCAGAUUCCUGUUGCUUCAGUCACUCCUACAACAUCACUAUCAGGAGCUGGUACGUACACUACCUCUUCUUUGAGCACAAAAUCUACAACCACAUCAGACCCUCCAAAUAUUUGUAAAGUGAAACCUCAGCAGUUGCAGACAAGCAGCCUGCCUUCUGCAAGUCAUUUUUCACAGUUAAGCUGUAUGCCUUCCCUUAUUGCCCAGCAACAACAGAGUCUGCAAGUUUAUGUGUCUCAGUCUGCAGCAGCUCAAAUCCCAGCCUUCUAUAUGGACACAAGUCAUUUAUUUAAUACCCAGCAUGCACGAUUGGCUCCACCAUCCUUGGCUCAACAACAGGGUUUCCAACCAGGUCUCUCUCAGCCAACUUCAGUUCAGCAGAUUCCAAUCCCUAUUUAUGCACCACUGCAAGGGCAGCAUCAAGCCCAACUGAGUUUGGGGGCUGGACCUGCUGUUUCCCAGGCUCAGGAAUUGUUCAGCUCUUCACUUCAACCAUAUAGAUCUCAGCCAGCUUUUAUGCAAAGCAGUUUAUCCCAGCCAUCUGUGGUCCUUUCUGGGACUGCUAUUCACAACUUUCCAACUGUCCAACACCAAGAACUUGCCAAGGCACAAUCUGGUCUUGCCUUUCAGCAAACAUCAAAUACCCAGCCUAUUCCCAUAUUGUAUGAACAUCAACUGGGGCAGGCAUCAGGACUAGGAGGUUCCCAGCUGAUUGACACACAUCUUCUCCAGGCUAGAGCAAAUCUUACCCAGGCUUCAAAUCUUUAUUCUGGACAAGUACAACAGCCUGGUCAGACAAAUUUUUAUAACACUGCCCAGUCACCAAGUGCUCUCCAGCAGGUUACAGUACCUUUACCAGGAUCCCAGCUUUCCUUGCCUAAUUUUGGAUCUACAGGGCAACCUCUAAUUGCUUUGCCUCAGACUCUUCAGUCCCCGUUACAGCAUACCACUCCCCAAGCACAGGCUCAGAGUCUGAGUCGUCCUGCACAAGUAAGCCAGCCUUUCAGAGGAUUAAUUCCUGCUGGAACACAGCAUAGCAUGAUUGCAACCACAGGAAAAAUGUCUGAAAUGGAACUAAAAGCCUUUGGAAGUGGCAUUGAUAUAAAACCAGGCACACCUCCAAUCGCUGGUAGAAGCACCACACCAACAUCUAGUCCCUUCCGGGCUACUUCUACAAGUCCGAACAGCCAGUCCAGCAAAAUGAACAGUAUUGUCUACCAGAAGCAGUUCCAGUCAGCCCCUGCCACUGUGAGAAUGACACAACCGUUUCCUACACAGUUUGCACCCCAGAAGAGACAGAGAGCAGAGGUUCUUCAGUCCACGCAACGGUUCUUCUCUGAACAGCAACAGAGCAGAUAGGAGGCAAAGCCCAGAAAGUGGACAGUGAUUCAAGUAAACCUCCUGAAACACUGACCGACCCUCCUGGUGUCUGUCAGGAAAAAGUAGAAGAAAAGCCACCCCCUGCACCCUCCAUAGCCACCAAACCUGUUAGAACUGGACCAAUCAAACCUCAGGCAAUCAAAACCGAAGAAACAAAAUCUUAAAGGCUAUGGUUUAUUGCAG
Molecule: RNA transcript, 1953 nt
Organism: Rhinopithecus roxellana (golden snub-nosed monkey)
Lineage: Eukaryota; Metazoa; Chordata; Mammalia; Primates; Cercopithecidae
Gene name: protein PRRC2C pseudogene
Exons: 2
Source: RefSeq, a predicted model, not a curated record